Molecule: unclassified non-coding RNA, 294 nt
Organism: Callithrix jacchus (white-tufted-ear marmoset)
Lineage: Eukaryota; Metazoa; Chordata; Mammalia; Primates; Cebidae
Rfam family: Metazoan signal recognition particle RNA
About the family: The signal recognition particle (SRP) is a universally conserved ribonucleoprotein. It is involved in the co-translational targeting of proteins to membranes. The eukaryotic SRP consists of a 300-nucleotide 7S RNA and six proteins: SRPs 72, 68, 54, 19, 14, and 9.
Source: Ensembl
GCCGGUGCAGUGGCUCCUCCCUGUAGUCCCAGCUACUCAGGAGGCUGAGAUGGGAGGAUCACUUGAGCCCAGGAGUUCUAGGCUGUAGUGCACUAUGCCGAUUAGGUGUCCGCACUAAGUUUAGCAUCAAUAUAGUGACCUCCCAGGAGCGGGGGACCACCAGGUUGCCUAAGGAGGGGUGAACCAGCCCAGGUCUGAAAUGGAGCAGGUCAAAACUCCCGUGCUGAUCAGGAAUCACGCCUGUGAAUAGCCACUGCACUCCUGCCUGGGCAACAUAGUGAGAUCCAGUCCCUA